GAUGAACGCUGGCGGCGUGCCUAAUACAUGCCAGUCGAGCGAACGGACGAGAAGCUUGCUUCUCUGAUGUUAGCGGCGGACGGGUGAGUAACACGUGGAUAACCUACCUAUAAGACUGGGAUAACUUCGGGAAACCGGAGCUAAUACCGGAUAAUAUUUUGAACCGCAUGGUUCAAAAGUGAAAGACGGUCUUGCUGUCACUUAUAGAUGGAUCCGCGCUGCAUUAGCUAGUUGGUAAGGUAACGGCUUACCAAGGCAACGAUGCAUAGCCGACCUGAGAGGGUGAUCGGCCACACUGGAACUGAGACACGGUCCAGACUCCUACGGGAGGCAGCAGUAGGGAAUCUUCCGCAAUGGGCGAAAGCCUGACGGAGCAACGCCGCGUGAGUGAUGAAGGUCUUCGGAUCGUAAAACUCUGUUAUUAGGGAAGAACAUAAGUGUAAGUAACUGUGCACAUCUUGACGGUACCUAAUCAGAAAGCCACGGCUAACUACGUG
RNAcentral lists this ribosomal RNA (497 nucleotides) under uncultured bacterium. RNAcentral's name for it is "partial 16S ribosomal RNA". It matches the Rfam family "Bacterial small subunit ribosomal RNA", at positions 28 to 507 of the family's 1533-position model. The record is from RNAcentral.